UUUUCAAUCCAUCGGGAUACCCUUUUUUUUGCCUGAGCCGCCCUCUCGGGUUUUCGACUCACCGGGUGUACGUUUUUUUAUUUUUUAUAUCCCUAAUUUUUGACCGAACCUCUUUAUUCUUUUUUUUGGUUCGUCUGGCUGCCCUUUUUUGCCUGGAUUCUUUUUCUUUCAUCCAGCGGAUCAAUUAUGCGAAGUAUUUUUUAACUGCGUUUGAGUUGACAGGGGAU
This 227-nucleotide long non-coding RNA is filed under the name Lathyrus oleraceus (garden pea). Its description in RNAcentral is "Pisum sativum (pea) long non-coding RNA (PSAT_LNC039287)". The record is from RNAcentral. Lineage: Eukaryota; Viridiplantae; Streptophyta; Magnoliopsida; Fabales; Fabaceae.